AACGCGAAGAACCUUACCUGGGCUUGACAUGCAUUUGACAGUUAUAGAAAUAUAAUCUUCUCGCAAGAGACAGAUGCACAGGUGCUGCAUGGCUGUCGUCAGCUCGUGCCGUGAGGUGUUGGGUUAAGUCCCGCAACGAGCGCAACCCUUGUCGUUAGUUGCCAUCACGUAAUGGUGGGCACUCUAGCGAGACUGCCUAGGUUAACUAGGAGGAAGGUGAGGAUGACGUCAAGUCCGCAUGGCCUUUAUGCCCAGGGCUACACACGUGCUACAAUGGUCGGUACAAAAGGCAGCGAAACCGUGAGGUGGAGCAAAUCCCCAAAGCCGGCCCCAGUUCAGAUUGGAGUCUGCAACUCGACUCCAUGAAGAUGGAAUUGCUAGUAAUGGCGAGUCAGCAACAUCGCCGUGAAUACGUUCCCGGGCCUUGUA
Molecule: ribosomal RNA, 429 nt
Filed under: uncultured Chlamydiae bacterium
Lineage: Bacteria; Pseudomonadati; Chlamydiota; Chlamydiia
Description: bacterial SSU rRNA
Rfam family: Bacterial small subunit ribosomal RNA
Source: RNAcentral